AGUGAACGCUGGCGGUAGGCCUAACACAUGCAAGUCGAACGGCAGCACAGUAAGAGCUUGCUCUUACGGGUGGCGAGUGGCGGACGGGUGAGGAAUACAUCGGAAUCUACUUUUUCGUGGGGGAUAACGUAGGGAAACUUACGCUAAUACCGCAUACGACCUACGGAUGAAAGCAGGGGAUCUUCGGACCUUGCGCGAUUGAAUGAGCCGAUGUCGGAUUAGCUAGUUGGCGGGGUAAAGGCCCACCAAGGCGACGAUCCGUAGCUGGUCUGAGAGGAUGAUCAGCCACACUGGAACUGAGACACGGUCCAGACUCCUACGGGAGGCAGCAGUGGGGAAUAUUGGACAAUGGGCGCAAGCCUGAUCCAGCCAUACCGCGUGGGUGAAGAAGGCCUUCGGGUUGUAAAGCCCUUUUGUUGGGAAAGAAAAGCAGCAGGUUAAUACCCCGCUGUUCUGACGGUACCCAAAGAAUAAGCACCGGCUAACUUCGU
Molecule: ribosomal RNA, 491 nt
Filed under: uncultured bacterium
Lineage: Bacteria
Description: partial 16S ribosomal RNA
Rfam family: Bacterial small subunit ribosomal RNA
Source: RNAcentral